GGAGUUUGGACCGUCUCUCAGUUCCAAUGUGGCCGUUCAACCUCUCAGUCCGGCUACCGAUCGUCGACUUGGUGGGCCGUUACCUCACCAACUAUCUAAUCGGACGCGAGCUCACCCCAUACCGGAUUGCUCCUUUUACCCCAGGGGCAUGCACCCCCGUGGUCUUAUGCGGUAUUAGCACCUGUUUCCAAGUGUUAUCCCCCUGUAUGGGACAGAUCGCUCACGCGUUACUCACCCGUCCGCCACUCGAAUCAUUCCCUUCCGGCCGAAGCCUUCCGCAAAUGAUCCCCGUUGACUUGCAUGUGUUAAGCACGCCGCCAGCGUUCGUCCUGAGCCAUGAUCAAACUACU
This 350-nucleotide ribosomal RNA is filed under the name uncultured Coriobacteriales bacterium. RNAcentral describes it as "partial 16S ribosomal RNA". The record is from RNAcentral. Lineage: Bacteria; Bacillati; Actinomycetota; Coriobacteriia; Coriobacteriales.